Molecule: long non-coding RNA, 382 nt
Organism: Ictidomys tridecemlineatus (thirteen-lined ground squirrel)
Lineage: Eukaryota; Metazoa; Chordata; Mammalia; Rodentia; Sciuridae
Source: Ensembl
CAUAUCCUGUCCUUUUUAUUUUCAUUUUGAGACAGGGUCUUGCUAAAUUGCUAAGAUUGGCCUCGAGCUUGCCAGUCUCCUGAGUCUCUGGGAUUACAAGUCUAUGAUCCAACACCCAGCAGCUCUCUUGGUUUAUGUGUGCUUAAAUAACUUAAGAGUCGCACAUGUGCUCAAAUUGUGGGCCUUGGGACCAGAGACUGGAGUCUUAAAGGAAUACAGAGGCUCUGAGUUCUUCUCGGUGUUCACAGCUUUGGUGGAUUCUGCAAAAAUCUGCUGUAUGAGGUCCUGUCACGCUCUGAGGUGUUGUAUUCUGACAAGAUUGGCAUGCUACCAAAAACUGAAUUUUAUAUUAAAGAGUUUAUUUAAUCUUCUUGAGAGCUGA